ACUCAAAUGAAUUGACGGGGACCCGCACAAGCGGUGGAGCGUGUUGUUUAAUUCGAUGGUAAGCGAAGAACCUUACCCAGGCUUGACAUCCUUGGAAGCACUGCGAAAGCAGAGUGUGCCUCCGGGAACCAAGUGACAGGUGUUGCAUGGCCGUCGUCAGCUCGUGUCGUGAGAUGUUUGGUUAAGUCCAUCAACGAGCGCAACCCUUGUGGCUAGUUGAAUUUUUCUAGUCAGACUGCCCUGGUAACAGGGAGGAAGGAGGGGAUGAUGUCAGGUCAGUAUUACCCUUACGUCUGGGGCUACAAACACGCUACAAUGGCCGGUACAAAGGGCUGCCAAGUCGCGAGACGGAGCAAAUCCCAUCAAAGCCGGUCUCAGUUCGGAUUGUAGGCUGAAACUCGCCUACAUGAAGUCGGAAUCGCUAGUAACGGUGGGUCAGCACACUACCGUGAAUACGUUCCCGGGUCUUGUACACACCGCCCGU
This 484-nucleotide ribosomal RNA is filed under the name uncultured bacterium. Its description in RNAcentral is "bacterial SSU rRNA". It matches the Rfam family "Bacterial small subunit ribosomal RNA", at positions 899 to 1397 of the family's 1533-position model. The record is from RNAcentral.